This 169-nucleotide unclassified non-coding RNA is filed under the name soil metagenome. RNAcentral's name for it is "partial contains 5.8S ribosomal RNA, internal transcribed spacer 2, and large subunit ribosomal RNA". The record is from RNAcentral.
AAGACUAUAGACCUGCGGAGUACCUGCGGAGGGAUCAUUAGUGAACGCCCUCACGGGCUUAUAACUAUUCCAAACCUCUGUGAACCGUGCCCUUCGGGGCUAUUUUACAAACAUGGUGUAAUGAACGUCAUAUAUCAUAACAAAACAAAACUUUUAACAAUGGAUCUCU